This 458-nucleotide ribosomal RNA is filed under the name uncultured bacterium. RNAcentral's name for it is "partial 16S ribosomal RNA". It matches the Rfam family "Bacterial small subunit ribosomal RNA", at positions 339 to 795 of the family's 1533-position model. The record is from RNAcentral.
CUACGGGAUGCACCAGUGAGGAAUAUUGGUCAAUGGGCGCAAGCCUGAACCAGCCAUCCCGCGUGCAGGAUGACAGCCCUAGAGGUUGUAAACUGCUUUUGUAUAGGAAGAAUAAGAGCUACGUGUAGCUUGAUGACUGUACUAUACGAAUAAGCACCGGCUAACUCCGUGCCAGCAGCCGCGGUAAUACGGAGGGUGCAAGCGUUAUCCGGAUUUAUUAGGUUUAAAGGGUGCGUAGGCGGGAUCUUAAGUCAGUGGUAAAAGGCAUUAGCUUAACUAAUGUAAGCCAUUGAAACUGGGAUUCUUGAGUUCGGUUGAGGUAGGCGGAAUGUGUUGUGUAGCGGUGAAAUGCAUAGAUAUAACACAGAACACCGAUUGCGAAGGCAGCUUACUAAGCCGUUACUGACGCUGAUGCACGAAAGCGUGGGUAUCAAACAGGAUUAGAUACCCUAGUAGUC